Molecule: long non-coding RNA, 585 nt
Organism: Phasianus colchicus (ring-necked pheasant)
Lineage: Eukaryota; Metazoa; Chordata; Aves; Galliformes; Phasianidae
Source: RefSeq, a predicted model, not a curated record
CCAUUUAUAGGCGUACCACUGCAUCUUUUUGUGUAGGUGUAUUUUCUCCCGUAUAGAAAAGCCUUCUGGUUUCGCAGUAUUUGAAUGCGUGUAAGAUGCUUCUGUGGUGCGUGUCCUGGCUGCUUAUGCUACACUAAGUACUUGAGUUGGUGCCAUUUCAAAGCAUGAACAGCGAUUCCUGUGCAAGGAAAAAGGAACUCCACCUAAAAGACAUAGGGCAGAGUUUGUGAGGGCUGGUUCUACAACUGCUCCUGCAUGAGAAUCAGAUAUUGCCUGCAAAUUUGGAUGGCAUGUAAAACAGAUAUUAAAAGUGUUGGCAACUCCUGGGCCCCGUGGCUGAGAGAUGAAACCUGCAGGACUAGAAGGAAGAUGCUGAGCCUUUAAUUGAUUCCCGAAGCAACGUGCAGGAAUCCACAGGAGGACAUUCUAUUGAUCACACAGCUUAAAUAUUUGGUAUCUAAAUCCUUCCCUGUCUCAUGGAGGUAAGCAUACUGCAGAAUGUCACGAAGAUGAAGACAGAAGCAAAAGAAGAAGAGAGGAAAACUUCUGGGAUCUGAAUACCUUUUUUCCCCCAUUUACUUUAGA